This 652-nucleotide ribosomal RNA is filed under the name Streptococcus sp. 101-03A. RNAcentral's name for it is "bacterial SSU rRNA". It matches the Rfam family "Bacterial small subunit ribosomal RNA", at positions 66 to 701 of the family's 1533-position model. Lineage: Bacteria; Bacillati; Bacillota; Bacilli; Lactobacillales; Streptococcaceae. The record is from RNAcentral.
GCUGAAGUCUGGUGCUUGCACUAGACGGAUGAGUUGCGAACGGGUGAGUAACGCGUAGGUAACCUGCCUCAUAGCGGGGGAUAACUAUUGGAAACGAUAGCUAAUACCGCAUAACAGUAUUUACCGCAUGGUAGAUACUUGAAAGGAGCAAUUGCUUCACUAUGAGAUGGACCUGCGUUGUAUUAGCUAGUUGGUGAGGUAACGGCUCACCAAGGCUUCGAUACAUAGCCGACCUGAGAGGGUGAUCGGCCACACUGGGACUGAGACACGGCCCAGACUCCUACGGGAGGCAGCAGUAGGGAAUCUUCGGCAAUGGGGGCAACCCUGACCGAGCAACGCCGCGUGAGUGAAGAAGGUUUUCGGAUCGUAAAGCUCUGUUGUAAGAGAAGAACUGUGAGAAGAGUGGAAAGUUUCUCAUUUGACGGUAUCUUACCAGAAAGGGACGGCUAACUACGUGCCAGCAGCCGCGGUAAUACGUAGGUCCCGAGCGUUGUCCGGAUUUAUUGGGCGUAAAGCGAGCGCAGGCGGUUUGAUAAGUCUGAAGUAAAAGGCUGUGGCUUAACCAUAGUACGCUUUGGAAACUGUCAAACUUGAGUGCAGAAGGGGAAGAGUGGGAAUUCCAUGUGUAGCGGUGAAAUGCGUAGAUAUAUGG